GAUGAAGUGCCAGAGUGGUUUGUGUGUGUGUUUGUUGUUCAGCAGGUCAUGGGUUUGAAACCCCUCUUGACCC
This 73-nucleotide transfer RNA is filed under the name Hordeum vulgare. RNAcentral describes it as "tRNA-OTHER". The record is from RNAcentral. Lineage: Eukaryota; Viridiplantae; Streptophyta; Magnoliopsida; Poales; Poaceae.